This 588-nucleotide ribosomal RNA is filed under the name uncultured bacterium. RNAcentral's name for it is "partial 16S ribosomal RNA". It matches the Rfam family "Bacterial small subunit ribosomal RNA", at positions 355 to 937 of the family's 1533-position model. The record is from RNAcentral.
UGGGGAAUAUUGGACAAUGGGCGCAAGCCUGAUCCAGCAAUGCCGCGUGUGUGAAGAAGGCCUUCGGGUUGUAAAGCACUUUUAUCAGGAGCGAAACGCUGUCGGCUAAUACCCGGCGGAACUGACGGUACCUGAGGAAUAAGCACCGGCUAACUUCGUGCCAGCAGCCGCGGUAAUACGAAGGGUGCAAGCGUUAAUCGGAAUUACUGGGCGUAAAGCGUGCGUAGGCGGUUUCUUAAGUCUGCUGUGAAAUCCCCGGGCUCAACCUGGGAAUGGCAGUGGAUACUGGGAGGCUAGAGUGUGUCAGAGGGUGGUGGAAUUCCCGGUGUAGCGGUGAAAUGCGUAGAGAUCGGGAGGAACAUCAGUGGCGAAGGCGGCCACCUGGGACAACACUGACGCUGAGGCACGAAAAGCGUGGGGAGCAAACAGGAUUAGAUACCCUGGUAGUCCACGCCCUAAAACGAUGCGAACUGGAUGUUGGUCUCAACUCGGAGAUCAGUGUCGAAGCUAACGCGUUAAGUUCGCCGCCUGGGGAGUACGGUCGCAAGACUGAAACUCAAAUGAAUUGACGGGGUCAUAGCUGUUUCC